CCUGGUGGUUUUGGCGGGGGUUCCCCACCCGAUCCCAUUCCGAACUCGGUCGUUAAGUCCCCCAGCUCCGAUGGUACUGUGCCUUAAGGCACGGGAGAGUAGGUCGCUGCCAGGU
Molecule: ribosomal RNA, 115 nt
Filed under: Hyphomonadaceae bacterium
Lineage: Bacteria; Pseudomonadati; Pseudomonadota; Alphaproteobacteria; Hyphomonadales; Hyphomonadaceae
Source: RNAcentral